AACCCAUGGUGAGGACACUUCCGUAAGAGAUCUUUAUACCUCUCCCAAGAUUCAUAGAGUGACUCCAUAUCGUUCUAAAAAAAAUUAGUGAUGUCACUUCUCAUCUU
Small nucleolar RNA from Pistacia vera, 107 nucleotides. The record is from RefSeq and is a predicted model, not a curated record. Lineage: Eukaryota; Viridiplantae; Streptophyta; Magnoliopsida; Sapindales; Anacardiaceae.